CCGGUUUAUGAUGAUGGACGGCUUGACACGUACUGGUAGUCUAUUUAGUGAAACAGACUUGUUCGAGAAGUCUCAUUAUCCAAGCUGACUUCAGUUAGUGAAAACGAGCAUAAAAGUACAGAUCACUAAAUCUGCUAAGGAGCGAUGAUUUUAUUGAUCUUCUCCAGCCUUGUUGUGGGGUUGAUGGCGAUUGGCAAUUACAGUUAUGUUCCCGAUGAAACGUACUUCGGGUGCUGGCCCA
Molecule: long non-coding RNA, 241 nt
Organism: Lingula anatina
Lineage: Eukaryota; Metazoa; Brachiopoda; Lingulata; Lingulida; Lingulidae
Source: RefSeq, a predicted model, not a curated record